AAGUCGUAACAAGGUAACCGUAGGUGAACCUGCGGUUGGAUCAUUAACAAAAAUAUAAUGAAGAGUCUUUAACGAGGCUCUUUCGUUAACACUUUUGUGAAUAUAUAACAGUCUUUAAUGGGUUAAGAAUCGUUAACAACGACAGCUUUUUAUUAAGCUACCCAUUACUUUUAAACACUUUUAAACAUUUUAUUUGUCACUUUUUAAACCUUAAAAAUUUAAAAACAACUUUUGACAACGGAUCUCUAGGCUCUC
This 255-nucleotide unclassified non-coding RNA is filed under the name fungal sp. RNAcentral describes it as "partial internal transcribed spacer region". The stretch from base 1 to 46 matches the Rfam family "Eukaryotic small subunit ribosomal RNA", at positions 1786 to 1831 of the family's 1831-position model. The record is from RNAcentral. RNAcentral also lists the same sequence under 1 other name. Lineage: Eukaryota; Fungi.